CCUGCCCAAAGGCCAAGGGUAGAGGCUUCCUACCAAGGGAAAUUUAUAGGGAGGGGCAGAGCUAUCUCUUUUGGACCUUACUCUGAAUUGGGAGAAGGAAUAAUGCCAAGUUUCAAGAAUGUCUCCUUUUGUUUCCUGAAUGUCUCCUUUUGUUUAUUUGGAAAGACGUGACCUAUUUUGUUUUUGCAGGUAAUGGUACAUUAAAAUAGAGUAUAUAAAGACUGGUAACCAAACUUCAACUUGUAAAUCAAAAUGACCCUUCCUUAAGUGUGUCAUUGGCUUAUAACCUCAGAGUAACUGAAGCGUGUGUUGCAAUUUUGGUCUGGCCUAACUUUAGCAAAAAGCACAUGAGAAGUUCCUUUAUCCUUUUGUUACCCAGCAAGCAAUCUUGUGCUGUGGUUCAGAGAGCCAAACCCUGAUAGCUGACAUUUGCAGUAAAGUAAGGGUUGAUUUGGAGCUGCAGCGGCCAUCCUAUGCUGCAGCUGCAGCCUGUGCCACAACCACAGCAAUGCCAGAUCCAAGCUGCAUCUGUGACCCAAGCCACAGCUUGCAGAAAUGCCAGAUACUUAACUCAUUGAGUGAUGUCAGAGAUCAAAACCUCAUCUUCAUGGCAACUAUGUCAGGUACUUAUCCCACUGAACUACACUGGGAACUUCCCAGGCAAAGGUUUUUAAAGACAGUGUUAGGGGAGAGGGUUGUAGAAUAUAUUAUCAACUUGUGGACUUUCUUCUGCUUGGCUGAUGGUGAGAUAACAGAGAAUCUCAACCUUCUGGUUCCAACCAGCCUGGGGUCUAUGUACUUGUGCUCACAUGUAGUCACCAUCUACCACCUGGGAAAGUGUCUUAGUUUCUGCAGAACAACUCAAAGAUCUGAACCAGAUUGUUAUCUAUAUCCCCUCAGGAGGAACUAGGAGUCCUGUGACUAUUGACCUAAUCAUUAACUGCUUGAGCCUGCUCUUUGGAACUCAAGGAAGGCCUAGGAGGCUGAAGUCAUUUUCCUACAAAGAAGAAGUGGGGAACGUGGAGUUUCCUGGUGGUCUACUGGCUAAGGAUGUCACUGCUGUGGCUUGGGUUCAGUCCCUGGCCCUGGAACUUCUAUAUGCUGCAGGCAUGGCCAGAAGCAAAGAAGAAAUGGGAAGCACAGAAAGGCUUUUGUAUCUGGCAGCCUCCUGCAGGGUCCUGCUUGGUUUGAAUGUCCCCUUUUCUUCAAUACCCCUCAAUCUUGAGGGGAACAGGGGCAGGAAAGGAAAGGGAACACAGUUUUGGAAAGAAAGAUUAAUCAUAAACUCAGCAGGGAACUUGGUUUCAUUUUCACUGCUUAAUUCCACAGAGCUGUGGUGAAUAACCAACCCACUUUGCUCUCUAGAGUGAUGUGGCAGGGAGAGUGGUGGGAGGUUUGGGCUCAAUAGACCUAGGUUUAAAUCACUAUCACUGGGCCUCCUUUUUCUCAUCUGUAAAUAGGACUGUUAUUGGACCAAACUUGGGUCUGCUUGCCCACUGCAGCAAAGCCAAUUUACUGACACCAGGUUAUGGUGAAGGAAAGUACGGCAUUCAUUGCAGGGCAGCAUGCAAGGAGAAUGGGCUGCUUCUGUGCUCAAAAAACCCAAACAAAGAAAAAAAAGAAAAAAGGAGUUCCUGUCAUGGCACAGCGGAAACGAACCCAACUAGGAACCAUGAGGUUGUGGGUUUGAUACCUGGCCUUGCUCAGUGGGUUAAGGAUCCGGCGUUGCUGUGAGCUGUGGUAUGGGUUGCAGAUGCAGCUCAGAUCUGGUGUUGCUAUGGCUGUGUAGUAGGCUGGCAGCUGUAGCUCUGAUUAGACCCUAGCAUGGGAAUCUUCAUAUGCUGUGGGUGCGGCCCUGAAAAGACAGAAAAAACCAAAAACCAAAAACAAACACAAACACCCUGAUGGUCUUCAGGGAAGAAUUUUUUUUUUUUUUUUUGUCUUUUUAGGGAUGUACCCGUGGCAGGUGGAAGUUCCCAGGCUAAGGGUCAAAUCGGAGCUACAGCUGCCCACCUAUGUUUCAGCAAUACUGGAUCCAAGCUUCAUCUUCAACCUACAUCAGAGGUCACAGCAAUGCCAGAUCCUUAACCCACUGAGCGAGGCCAGGAAUUGAACCCGUGUCCUCAUGGAUACUAGUCAAAUUCAUUUCUGCUGAGCCACAAGGGGAACUCCUUCAGGGAAGAAUUUUUAAGGGCAACGUUUGGGUGAGGGCUGCAGGGUGCAUGACUUUCUUCUGAUUGGUUGGUGGGGAGGUGACAGCGUGGUGCUCCAGGAAUCUUCAUCAUCAUCCUUCUGGUUCCAACCAGCCUGGGGUCAGUGCUAGUGUGUCCUCCUCCUGGAUGGAGGUGGUCGUAGUUUCUGCAGAACAGCUCGAAGGUGUGUGUCAAAUUGUGUGUAUAUGCCUUGAGGAGGAACUAGGGCUAUUUUAUUGCUGUACUAUUGCCAUAACUUUUCUUAUUUAACUGCUUUUCCUUUGUUUCUGUGAUCCCUCACUUUUCCUAAUUUCUCUUGUUCUUUCUCUUUGGAACUCUGGGAAGGACUAGGAGAAUAAAGUCUUUUCCUGCAAACAAGAAAUGGAGACAUGGAGAGGUCUUUGUAUCCAGGAGGGGCUGCUGAGUACUGCUUGAUUUUAGAGUCAAUAACAUUGCCCAUGCAACAAUGGUUUUGAGCCUCAAAUAAGGUUAUCUGUACACUAAGUGUAUCCUCUAUACAGAGUGGCUGUUUUGUUAAGAGAUGAGUGUGGGCUUUUCCAUAUUCAUGAAUUCUCUAGGAGCUUGGUUGCUAAGUCCAGAAAAUGGGAUUGGUUUGGGAUUUCAUUAUUAUUUUCACACUUCUAUAUUGAUGUAGAUUUUAUUAUUAUUAUUAUUAUUGUUAUAGUGUCAUCCACGUGACCUGUUUUUAAAUAGGAAAAAAGCUUUGUCAAGGUAAAAAGUCCCAUAUCCAGACUCUAGAAUUUUCCCCUAAAAUAAGCGGUGUGAAGAAUAGAAAUAUUAACAAAGAAGCUGAUGACAUUUCCUCUAAAGCGAUGAAAGAUUAGAAAGCUGCCACUUUUGGCUGGCUCAGGCCCUCCCCUUCCCAGCAGCAUCAUGGGAUUAGGUGACCUCUCAAGGUUCCUUGUAGCUUGGGAUUUUGUUUUUUGAUGUCUGUUUAAAGAUUAUGCUAAUACUGAAAAUCCUUUGUACACAGUGGUGGUUAAAAAUUCUGGCUCCUGACCUGAAUCAAUGCCUGGCCUGGUUUAAAUUGUAUACUUGAGCUUAACAGGACUCAAAUGCUCAUGUUUUAUACAAGCCAUUGGUCUUUCUUUUUUGCCUCAAAAAGAUUUUUUUUUGUUGUUAUUGUAUUUUGGACUAAAGCAAGAGAGAGAAGGUUGAUUAAAAAAAAUGCAUUCAGUUACAGAAGGAUUUAGAUUAUUCUAAUAACUAAGCUUAGUUUUUCAUAUUGUGGGUGAGAAAGAUGGAUGAACAAUAAUGUAGAGUGCAAAGACCCAGGAGGUAACUCCCCAGAAAUAUAUCACUGGGGCAGCAUGUUAAUUUCAAAUUGAACCCCAAGCAUCUAAUAAAUAACUUGUUUAGUACUUUGGGAAGAUGGACUCUGGAGCCAGCCUACUGGGGCUUGGCUACUAUUUCUGCCUCUUAUGGGCUCUGUGAUCUUGGCAAUAUAUUUAACCUAUUUGUACCCUUCCUCAUCUGCAAAAUGGGGAUAACAAUAGUACUUACUUCUUAGAGUUGUUGGGAAGAUUAAAUGAGUUAAUAAAUGUAAAGUGGUUAGCACGGUGCCUGGAAUACAAUGUGUUCAAUAAUAGCAAUUAAUUCAAAAUCUUAAGGAUUACCAUGGUCUUUUAUUUAAAACAUUUUUUUUUGGCCGGGCCCACAGCACGUGGAAGUUCUUGCGCCAGGCUAUAGCAGUGACAGGAAUCACAGCAGUGACAAUGCUGGAUCCUCAACCCAGUAGGCCGAUGGGGAACUUCAAAACAAACUUAUUUUGUUUGCUUUUUAUUUUUACUUCUUUACUUUUUAUGAAGGAAAAUUUUUAAAAAUUAAAAAAAUAGAGAGGUAUAAUAAUCCUCCAUGUAUUCAUUAGCAGUUAUCCAUUUAUGAGCAAUCUUGUUUUACCUUAUUUUUGCCCAUUCACUUCCCCUCCUUCUACUUGAUUAUUUUGACAUAGAUCUCAUCCAUCAUAUAUUUCACCUUUAAAUAUUCCAGUAUGUAUCUCUAAAAUAAAGGUAUUGAAAGUUCCUGUUGUGGCUCAGGGGUAACGAGGCAGACUAGCAUCCAUGAGGAUGUGUGUGGGUUCGAUCCCUGGCCUCCCUCAGUGGGUUAAUGAUCUGGUGUUGCCUUGAACUGUGGUGUAGGUUGCAGACACGGCUCAGAUCCCGCGUUGCUGUGGCUGUGGUGUAGGCCGGCAACUACAUCUCUGAUUCAACCGCUAGCCUGGGAACUUCCAUAUGCUGCAGGUGCGGCCCUAAAAAAUAAAUUUAAAAAAUAAAAUAAAGUAGCAAAUUAUGGCCCAAUGUCUAUUUUACAAAUAAAGUUAUUGGAAUGCCAUGAAAGGGUCCAAAACAUGCUAUUAGGGCAUAAAGUUUUUUUUCUUUUCAUGGACACACCUUUGACAUAUGGAAGAUUCCAGGCCAGGGGUCAAAUCAGAGCUGCACCUGCAACAUAUACCUCACCUUGAGGCAACGCUGGUUCCUUAAGCCACUGAGCGAGGCCAGGGAUCAAACCCACAUCCUCAUGGAUACUAUGUUGGGUUCUUAGCCCAGUGAGCCACAGUGGGAAUUCCGUGGCAUAAAAUUUAUUUCAACUGAGGUCAUUUGAGAAUAGGCUUUUUUUCUGAACUCUUUUAUCUGCCUAAGAGCAGAACCUCCCAGAAAAACUCAGUUGUGAUUAAUCUCCCCAGGAAUUCACAAUCCCCCCGACUGACUCUUUUCACAGAUGGAAGAAGUUGGGACCAUGUCUGCGUAGUCUAAACUGACAUUGUCAUAUAACUAUGCCUGUUGUCUAUUCUCCCCAGGGCCCAUGUAUCUUUCCUAAAAAUCAUUUGUUUUCCCAUAAGUGCCCUUUUCCUCUUCUGGUGAUUUGUAAGUCCCAAGUUCUUUUUUUUUUUUGUUAUUGCAACCUACACCACAGCUCACGGCCACGCCGGAUCGUUAAUCCACUGAGCAAGGGCAGGGACCGAACCCGCAACCUCAUGGUUUCUAGUCAGAUUCGUUAACCACUGCGCCACGACGGGAACUCCCAUUUGUAAGUCCCAAGUUCUAAUCGCCUUUCUGAGUCAUGCUUUUCUGUGAACUCUUGUGUGUGUACAUGAAUAAAAAUCUGUCUUUUCUCU
Molecule: long non-coding RNA, 5328 nt
Filed under: Sus scrofa (pig)
Lineage: Eukaryota; Metazoa; Chordata; Mammalia; Artiodactyla; Suidae
Description: lncRNA (ENSSSCG00030006284.1)
Source: RNAcentral